CCCGCCCCCAGGGGGGGCCGCUGCCCUGGAGCCCCGCCCACAGCGUCCGACACCCGGCCAGGCUGGGGAAAGUCUUGACCCGAAUACCCGCUAGGGGAAAACCUAGCCCAGGAGGAGUGGGGCAGGGCAUCCUGGGGCGGGGCCAGGGGUCUCCCGGAUACCUGAAGAGGGGAUGAGUGUGUGUGUGUGUGUGUGUGUGUGUGUGUGUGUGUAUCUGUGAAGGGGCUUGUGCACGAGAUUUGAAAUGUAGAGAUGGAUGGCUUUGGAGAUUCAUGGAGAAUCUGGUGGUGAGGGUACAGAAAGGGAUCACUGUAAGGAGGUUGGGAGGCUCAGGGAAAGAUUCUAAGAGAUCCAGGGAUCUGCAGGAGGCUUUAGGCAAGGGAAGAGUGGUGGCUGCGCUGUGCAGGGGGAAAAGGAUGUACAGGGAGAAGGGUGAGAUCCCUGAAGGAGGCUAGAGAUAACCCUGAGCUGACUGUGCAGAACCCCCCCAGGAAGUGAGGGCCCGGGAUCUCCCCUCUACACCGCUGCCCCAAAAGAGGUGAAAGGCUGCCUCCCCUUCUCUGUCAAGGGGAGAGGGAAGCGGUGGAAACCGGGGAUCCCGUGGGCGUAGUUCUGGUGUGUCCCCUGGGAGAGUCUGGAGAGUGGCCCUCCUAGAUAAACUUUCCCCCAGCUCCUGAUGUUGGAGCUCAGAUACCCCUUUUCCCAGCAGAAAGAUCUUAACUGUGUGUUGACUCAUGGAGAGGGGAAUGUGCCUGAGCUGAGUGGGUGCUCAGGGUUGGGGGAUGUGCUCAACCAUUCUCUGACCCUGUCUUCGGGACCAUCCCCCCCACCCCCCCACCCCCGCCCUGUGUUACCGUGGCUGCCAGGCAGUGGGAGAGACUGGAACAGCCCAGCUGAAGUCUCUGUCGUCAGUGGUGCCCAAAUAAGAAGUGAGAGGAGGAAGUGGAAGGCCAGUCUUGGCGUCUAAAGAGCAGCUAGCCACCACAAGGCGUCAGCAUCACAAGCUGGGGGCCUCCGCAUCCCACCAUUGGCCACUAAACAGAGGCUGGGGAGGUACAGUCCCCAUCUGUCCCCUUCUCCUCCAGUCUUCCCAAAUCUGUGUUAUGCCUUUACAGCUGACAUUUAUUGAGCAUUUACCAUGGGCCGUGCACACCGUUCUGUGGGUGCUGUUACAUACAUGUAUUAACUCAUUUGGCCUUCGUAACAACCCUAGGAAAUCGGUACCUCAUGGAUGAGGAAACUGAGGCCCAGGGAGGUUAAGUAACGUGCUCUAGGCCACUGAGUGCCAGAACGGAGGCUCAAAGCCAGGCAGCCCGGCACCAGAGCCUGCCAUCCUAACCCCUAUGUGAUGCUGUCUGCUUCAGUUUCUCCUUCCCCCUACAUUUAUGCCCUGAUCCAUGCCGGGUACCGGCUGGGCACUGGGGCUACAGAGUCUAUGGUCUGGUUAUAUAUACAUGUGCUGUGUUAGACGGGUGGCAUGAACAGUCCAGAGAGGCAAGUGGCCACAUCUGACAGGAAGGAAAGGCUGUCUCCUGUCUCGGUGCCCUGGUCUGUCUCAGUCGCUGUUCUUCCUUGUCUCCUUGACUCUGUCUUUCCCUCAGCCCCCCAUCCCUGGGGCCCCAGCUCCUGCAGGAGCUAUGGGUGGGAGGGGUCUGUGCCACCCCUCAGUAAUUACACAAGUCCAGAUGGCAGGAUGCUUGUUGGGUGGGGGGCAGAGGGUAGACUGGGGGCUGCUGGGAGCCAAGAGCUGAGUCCCUUCCUCUCCCUCCUGCCACCUCCCCCUGGGCACCACCAAGUGGCCACCGGCUGAGGGGCCGAGGGGGUGUUGGUGGGGAAACAUGGGACUCUAUUGUGAAGCAUCAGCACAGAUGGACCCCUGGACCGUCUGCUGCCUGCUCCUGACAGACGGCAUCUGGGGUGGGGGUGGGGGUGGGGGUGGGGAUGGGGAGGAGAGCAAAGGCAGGGGAGGCAGUGGUUUGGUUUCUUUUCUCUUCACUCCUGUGCGUAUCCCUGAAGAGACCAGCAAAAGGGCACCCUGUAGGAUCCCUUGUGCGAAGGACCACCACCUUACCUAUCCCAGGGAUGACCUAAAGGACACCUCCUUGCCUGAAAGCUGGACAAGUGAACACCACGGGUGUCACGGCACCCGCGUCUAACAGCCCUGUUGAGACAUUCCUCCUUCAGGGGCGCCUGCGUGGCUCCGUCGGUUUAGCGUCCAGCUCUUGAUUUCAGCUCAAGUCACGAUCUCACAGUUCAUGUGAUUGAGCCGCGUGUCAGGCUCUGCCGUCAGCGCGGCGGCUGCUUGGGAUUCUCUUUCUCCCCCCACCUCUCUGCCCCUCCACCUGCUGGCAUGUGUGGUCUCUCUCUCGAAAUAAAUAAACAUUAAAAAAAAAAAUAGACAUUCCUCCUUCAGGUUUCCCCCUCUUCCAAGCAGAGCUCCGGAGAACCAGAGUAAGUGUGGGCCCAGGAAAUGCAAUUUCUGGGAGGCACGUGGCAUGAUUUCCUCCAGUCCUGGAAUCCAAGAGCUGGAAAGGAAGGGCCUGCCCUGUGGCCUGGCAACAAUACGACGUGGUCCAAGCACUCAUUGAACACAGGAGGCAAACCGAGACCCGUGGGGGGGUAAGGAUUGAGGCAGGACAGGCCCUAGUACCCACUAGACCCAAGGUCUCCGGCCUCCAGAGACUAUUUAAUUCAGCUGCUAGUUGCUCCCCUGAGAGUUCAGAGAGUUCAGAGAUAUGUAUGUGUGCCUGCUUCCUUCUCCCAAUCUCCUCACAGUCUCCAAGGAGGGGAUGGGGGGCCCAGGAUGCCACACUAUGGGGUGGUGAUGCCCUCUGGUGGCCGUGGGUCUCUGGGUGGAAAAUCUUCAAACCAGAGUGAAGGGCUGUCUGGCUCGUGCCUGGCUCCACUCGGGAUCUGAGUGGGGUUUAGGGAAUCCCCCACAUCUCCUCUCCUGCGCAGGAGGGUCCGUGUCCCACUGAGAUGCCAAGCUCCCCUUCGGUCACAGAGUUCCGGAGUCUCACCGCUGGCCCAGUUAGGAAGUUGUGUUUUUGAUCUCCACCAGGGCUGCCGGACUGCAGGUGAAGUUCAACAAGGAGAGGGCGGACAGCUGGAGGGGCCUCCUCUGUGCAAGAGUCUCCACACGCCAGACACACGAGUUCCCUGAGGAAGAAGGAAUUCUGCCUCCAGACUGCCUUUGGACUCAAGACUGCACCAUCAACUCUUCCCUGCAUCUCUAGCUGUCGGCUUGAUUUGAAACUUGCCAGCCUCCACAGUCAACAAGCACGUUCUCCGGACUGUAAACCUCAGAGGACAUGACCUGCCAGGGACAAAAAUUUAAGAGGUGUGAAAAAAAACCCAAGUGAGACAUUAUUCCAAAGAAUUCAGGUCUCCUGUGUCACAGGGGCCUUGCAAAGGUGAAACAGUGUUGGUAACCUUCAAGGCACACAAAGAGGUACCAGCAAAGUUGCCCUUCUGAUGUUCAGAAUGGUGCAGGUGAAGCUGCAAUCCAUAGCCUGGUGGAUUUUCGAUCCACGCCUGGCAAGAUGACUGAUCCGUCACAGGAUGGCUUUUUAACGGGGUUGAGAUUCACUACGAGCCACCACAUCUUUUUCAACAGAGAGCUUCAACAGCCACAAUACCUUGUCACUUCAGAGACACCUGGAUUUCUGCAGCUAUCUUUGUCCAUAAAUGAAUUAUGGCUAGGGCACAAGGACAAUUUAAUUAGCAGCUGAUCCGGGUUAUUGGGCUAUGUGCCAAACUUCAAGCCAACUUCUUAGAGGACUCGCUAUCCUGGGUUCCCGCGGCCGAGAGGAGGAAAGAUCUGCCCCGCCACCCACACACUGAAAAGACGACGAAGCACGGAAGACUCCCACCUCAAAUCACCCGAGUCCCCCGAGAUUCUCAUUUAUUCUCCAAUCUACAAGGGGAGAAGCAGGAAUCUGAGCAGGACUCUUAGGCAGCCUUCAAGGCUAGGUGGCUGCUGACACACCAGGAUCGAGAUCCUCUUUUGUACAGAGAAAAAAAUGCUGAAAGACAAAGGCAGACACAGACAAAGCCCAAGAAAACGUGUGUGGUUUGCGCCACCCCCCACCCCCACCCCCCUGCCCUGCACACUCCAGGCCAGGCCGCUCCCGGUGUUUCAGGGAGGGGAGACCCUGCACUCAGACUGGCUCCUCUUCUGAUGCGACCUGCUUCGACAUGCUGUCGUCAUUCCGGCCAACGAGGAAGGCAGCAAGGCCACCUCAGCACAUGUCUGCUCCCUUCCCCGCUCCCCUGACAAGAGCUGGGCGGUCAGUCUACACACAUGGAAGACAGAGGGCACCAAAAAGCUCUGUGA
This is a long non-coding RNA of Prionailurus viverrinus (fishing cat), 4336 nucleotides long. RefSeq lists it as uncharacterized. The record is from RefSeq and is a predicted model, not a curated record. NCBI's taxonomy places the organism in Eukaryota, Metazoa, Chordata, Mammalia, Carnivora, Felidae. The transcript has 4 exons.